CCUACGGGGGGCAGCAGUGGGGAAUAUUGGGCAAUGGGCGCAAGCCUGACCCAGCAACGCCGCGUGAAGGAAGAAGGCUUUCGGGUUGUAAACUUCUUUUAAGAGGGAAGAGCAGAAGACGGUACCUCUUGAAUAAGCCACGGCUAACUACGUGCCAGCAGCCGCGGUAAUACGUAGGUGGCAAGCGUUGUCCGGAUUUACUGGGUGUAAAGGGCGUGCAGCCGGGAAGACAAGUCAGAUGUGAAAUCCCGGGGCUCAACCGCGGAACUGCAUUUGAAACUGUUUUUCUUGAGUACCGGAGAGGUCAUCGGAAUUCCUUGUGUAGCGGUGAAAUGCGUAGAUAUAAGGAAGAACACCAGUGGUGAAGGCGGAUUACUGGACGACAACUGACGGUGAGGCGCGAAAGCGUGGGGAGCAAACAGGAUUAGAUACCCGAGUAGUC
RNAcentral lists this ribosomal RNA (442 nucleotides) under uncultured bacterium. Its description in RNAcentral is "partial 16S ribosomal RNA". It matches the Rfam family "Bacterial small subunit ribosomal RNA", at positions 338 to 795 of the family's 1533-position model. The record is from RNAcentral.